CUGAGCUCAGGCAAGAACACCCGCUGAACUUAAGCAUAUCAAUAAGCGGAGGAAAAGAAACUAACCAGGAUUCCCCUAGUAACGGCGAGUGAACCGGGAAUAGCCCAGAAUGAAAAUCUCUUCGGAGAAUUGUAGUCUAUAGAAGCGCCCUCUGUGGCGGUGGGAUCCCAAGUCCGGUGGAAGCCGGCGUCAGAGAGGGUGAGAACCCCGUCGGAUCUACACUUAGCUGCUCCACGAGGUGCUUUCCACGAGUCGGGUUGUUUGGGAAUGCAGCCCAAAAUGGGAGGUAAAUCCCUUCUAAGGCUAAAUACUGGCGAGAGACCGAUAGCGACA
This 333-nucleotide ribosomal RNA is filed under the name Chlamydomonas splendida. Its description in RNAcentral is "eukaryotic LSU rRNA". It matches the Rfam family "Eukaryotic large subunit ribosomal RNA", at positions 1 to 346 of the family's 3401-position model. Lineage: Eukaryota; Viridiplantae; Chlorophyta; Chlorophyceae; Chlamydomonadales; Chlamydomonadaceae. The record is from RNAcentral.